Small nucleolar RNA from Colletotrichum incanum, 92 nucleotides. It matches the Rfam family "A. fumigatus snoRNA Afu_190". NCBI's taxonomy places the organism in Eukaryota, Fungi, Ascomycota, Sordariomycetes, Glomerellales, Glomerellaceae. The record is from Rfam.
ACAUGAUGAUACGCCAGCUGGCACCAGUCAUAGAGUGAUUUGUACUCCCUUCUUUGAUGAAAAACGCUGCGGUCUUUUGACCAACCACUGAU